RNAcentral lists this ribosomal RNA (444 nucleotides) under Triticum aestivum (bread wheat). Its description in RNAcentral is "partial small subunit ribosomal RNA". Lineage: Eukaryota; Viridiplantae; Streptophyta; Magnoliopsida; Poales; Poaceae. The record is from RNAcentral.
AUGUCAUUUUGUGAUAUGUCGACUCCACUAAUAAUCCAGACUCCUGGUUCCAAAUGGCAAACCUCUAAGAUAAGCCAUGGUAAUGGAAUCCUUGUUGACAGACUUGUAUUCCUUGCAUCACUUAUAGCCCUCAAGUCUACAGAUAUUAACAUCAUCUUGGGUAUGGACUGGAUGAAAGCUCAUUAUGCCAAGAUUGAUUGUUACACAAGGUAUGUUCAGCUUACACACCCAUCUGGCAAGAUAGUCAAUGUCUCCACUAGAGUUGCAAGGCGUCAACUCUAUUCUCUUAAUGCCAGCCCUCUUCUAGACCUUGAAGAUAUUCCGGUAGUCCGUGACUUCUCGGAUGUUUUUCCAGAAGAACUGCCAGGUGUCCCACCUGACAGAGAUGUAGAGUUUGUCAUAGAACUUAUCCCAGGAACUGUUCCAAUCUCUAGGAGACCAUAA